AAUAUUGGACAAUGGGCGAAAGCCUGAUCCAGCCAUGCCGCGUGUGUGAAGAAGGUCUUCGGAUUGUAAAGCACUUUAAGUUGGGAGGAAGGGCAGUAAGUGAAUACCUUGCUGUUUUGACGGUACCAACAGACUAAGCACCGGCUAACUUCGUGCCUGCAGCCGCGGUAAUAUAGAGGGUGCAAGCGUUAAUCGGAAUUACUGGGCGUAACGCGCGCGUUGGUGGUUUGCCAAGUUGGAAGUGAAAUCCCCGGGCUCAACCUGGGAACUGCUUUCAUAACUGCUGAGCUAGAGUACGGUAGAGGGUAGUGGAAUUUCCUGUGUAGCGGUGAAAUGCGUAGAUAUAGGAAGGAACACCAGUGGCGAAGGCGACUACCUGGACUGAUACUGACACUGAGGUGCGAAAGCGUGGGGAGCAAAC
Molecule: ribosomal RNA, 421 nt
Filed under: uncultured bacterium
Lineage: Bacteria
Description: partial 16S ribosomal RNA
Rfam family: Bacterial small subunit ribosomal RNA
Source: RNAcentral